AGAGUUUGAUCCUGGCUCAGGAUGAACGCUGGCGGCGUGCCUUAGACAUGCAAGUCGAACGAAGCACUUCUCUCUGAUCGCUUCGGUGUGAAGAGAUUUGUGACUUAGUGGCGAACGGGUGAGUAACACGUGAGUGACCUGCCCCGAAGUGCGGCAUAACAGGGGGAAACCCUUGCUAAUUCCGCAUGUGCUCCCACCUUCUGAGGUGUGAGUAAAGAUUUAUCGCUUCGGGAUGGGCUCGCGGUCCAUCAGCUAGUUGGUAGGGUAAUGGCCUACCAAGGCUACGACGGAUAGCCGGCCUGAGAGGGUGUACGGCCACAGGGGCACUGAGAUACGGGCCCCACUCCUACGGGAGGCAGCAGUUAGGAAUCUUCGGCAAUGGGCGCAAGCCUGACCGAGCGACGCCGCGUGAAGGAUGAAGGCCCUCGGGUCGUAAACUUCUAAAAGAGGGACGAUAGUGACGGUACCUCUUGAAAAGCACCGGCUAACUCCGUACCAGCAGCCGCGGUAAUACGGAGGGUGCUAGCGUUAUCCGGAAUCACUGGGCGUAAAGGGCGCGUAGGCGGUCUGUUAAGUCCGAUGUUAAAGACUGGGGCUC
RNAcentral lists this ribosomal RNA (598 nucleotides) under uncultured bacterium. RNAcentral's name for it is "bacterial SSU rRNA". It matches the Rfam family "Bacterial small subunit ribosomal RNA", at positions 8 to 610 of the family's 1533-position model. The record is from RNAcentral.